AGUCAAUAGAUACCCGGGUAGUCCUGGCAGUAAACGGUGCGCGUUUGGUGUGGGAGGAUUCGACCCCUUCUGUGCCGGAGCUAAACGCGUUAAACGCGCCGCCUGGGGAGUACGGUCGCAAGAUUAAAACUCAAAGAAAUUGACGGGGGCCCGCACAAGCGGUGGAGUAUGUGGCUUAAUUCGAUGCAACGCGAAGAACCUUACCUAGCCUUGACAUGCAUCUCUAAGUCGGUGAAAGCCGGCGACUGUAGCAAUACAGAAUUUGCACAGGUGCUGCAUGGCUGUCGUCAGCUCGCGUCGUGAGAUGUUGGGUUAAGUCCCGCAACGAGCGCAACCCCUGUGAACUGUUGCCACC
Molecule: ribosomal RNA, 355 nt
Filed under: uncultured bacterium
Lineage: Bacteria
Description: bacterial SSU rRNA
Rfam family: Bacterial small subunit ribosomal RNA
Source: RNAcentral